UACAGAGGGUGCGAGCGUUAAUCGGAAUUACUGGGCGUAAAGCGUGCGUAGACGGUCAAGUAAGUCGGGUGUGAAAGCCCCGGGCUCAACCUGGGAAUUGCAUUCGAGACUGCGUGGCUAGGGUGCGGAAGAGGGAAGCGGAAUUUCCGGUGUAGCGGUGAAAUGCGUAGAUAUCGGAAGGAACACCAGUGGCGAAAGCGGCUUCCUGGUCCAGCACCGACGUUCAGGCACGAAAGCGUGGGGAGCAAAAGGG
This 253-nucleotide ribosomal RNA is filed under the name uncultured bacterium. Its description in RNAcentral is "partial 16S ribosomal RNA". It matches the Rfam family "Bacterial small subunit ribosomal RNA", at positions 524 to 776 of the family's 1533-position model. The record is from RNAcentral.